This 85-nucleotide transfer RNA is filed under the name Methanoregulaceae archaeon. RNAcentral describes it as "tRNA-Leu". It matches the Rfam family "tRNA". From Rfam's summary of the family: Transfer RNA (tRNA) molecules are approximately 80 nucleotides in length. Their secondary structure includes four short double-helical elements and three loops (D, anti-codon, and T loops). The record is from RNAcentral. Lineage: Archaea; Methanobacteriati; Methanobacteriota; Methanomicrobia; Methanomicrobiales; Methanoregulaceae.
GCGAGGGUAGCAAAGCCUGGCCAAAUGUGCCGGACUUAAGAUCCGGCCUCGAAGGAGUUCGUGGGUUCGAAUCCCACCCCUCGCA